GACGAACGCUGGCGGCGUGCUUAACACAUGCAAGUCGAACGCUGAAGCUCAGCUUUUGUUGGGUGGAUGAGUGGCGAACGGGUGAGUAACACGUGAGUAACCUGCCCCCUUCUUUGGGAUAACGCCCGGAAACGGGUGCUAUUACUGGAUAUUCACUGGUCUUCGCAUGGGGGUUGGUGGAAAGGGUUUUUCUGGUGGGCGAUGGGCUCGCGGCCUAUCAGCUUGUUGGUGGGGUGAUGGCCUACCAAGGCUUUGACGGGUAGCCGGCCUGAGAGGGUGACCGGUCACAUUGGGACUGAGAUACGGCCCAGACCCCUACGGGAGGCAGCAGUGGGGAAUAUUGCACAAUGGGCGCAAGCCUGAUGCAGCGACGCCGCGUGAGGGAUGGAGGCCUUCGGGUUGUGAACCUCUUUCGCUCAUGGUCAAGCCGCAACAAUGGUUGUGGUGAGGGUAGUGGGUAAAGAAGCGCCGGCUAACUACGUG
This 483-nucleotide ribosomal RNA is filed under the name uncultured bacterium. Its description in RNAcentral is "partial 16S ribosomal RNA". It matches the Rfam family "Bacterial small subunit ribosomal RNA", at positions 28 to 507 of the family's 1533-position model. The record is from RNAcentral.